Molecule: long non-coding RNA, 972 nt
Filed under: Olea europaea subsp. europaea
Lineage: Eukaryota; Viridiplantae; Streptophyta; Magnoliopsida; Lamiales; Oleaceae
Source: RNAcentral
GCCAUUUUCCUUUUUUUUUUCUUUUUUUUUUUUCGUUAGUUGUCUUGACGUUAGGUGGAGUCGCAAUCAAGCAUUUAAUACCUCAAUAGGCCAAACCAAAAUGCUUAUAAUUUGUUCCAAAAAAAAUAGUUUUCCUCUCUGAUCAAUUUGCCAAUAUUUGUUCCUUCUCUCUGAAGUCGCAUUUUCUUGACAUCCCACCAUGGAAUCUUCAUUCUGUACCAUAAAAUCCCUCCAUGAUUACAUAGUUAGCCAUAUCAAACGGACCAUUAAAGGACUAUUUUCUCCACUCUAUACACAAAAUAUCAGCAAAAACCCUGAUCCUUCGAUUGAAUACCGUCCAUCUGCUUCAUUAGUAUCACUCCCUUUUUACAUUACAAACACAACAAUCAAGAAGCAACUCAAGAUUGAUGAAUACAGAAAUUUUAUAUCGCAGGUCGGAACCCAAAAACGAGAUCUUGAUCCCUGUUGUGCAGUGUGUUUGGAUAACAUAGAGAGUUGUGACAAGGUGAGGGAACUUGGGAAUUGUGUGCAUGUGUUCCACAGUGAGUGCCUGGACUGUUGGAUCGAUCAAGGCCAUCAAACAUGCCCCAUUUGCAGAGCCAAGCUUUUGCAGAAUAAAAAACAAGAAUUAGAGUUUGAAGAAGAUCCAUGGAGAUCAGAAAGAAUGGUUUACUUGUUUGGUGAAGAUUGUGUGAUGAGUAAAUAGAUGAUUGAGUUCACUUGUCUAUUCGUAUAAGAAAUUACUUAUUUUUCAUCUGGAUAGUACUAUUUGGUCCUCACUACAAUACACCAUAAAUAGUUUAAACAUUAGUAGUUGUUUGCGUAGAAGCGAAUGCAAUUUAUGUGCACUACUUUUUUUUGGCAUGAAAGGAUUGAUUUGUUUACAAGUUAGUGUUUGGAUACUGGAUUGGUCUAUGUAACUUUAAAGCAAUGUUUUAAAACUCCGACCAGCUUGAAAACGUGAAAGAGUCA